CUCAGCACAGAUGCCUUCCUCAUCAGCUCUGCACUAAAACAUACAGAUAAAGAGGAUAAUAACCGUACCAGCUUCACCAGCCCGUGGAGAGAACAGCUGAAGAGAGCAUGUGAAAUUGCUGUGAUGAAUAGCAGAAGAGGGGAAGGCUUCUGGCAGUGAGGGAGAUCUAAGCAGCACAUCAGGCCAGGAAGCAAACUGAGAGAAAACUUUUUUGGCCAGGAUUGAAUUAGGAGUGGUGGAUGGUGUUAAAGAACUGAAAGCCAACAGGUUCUCUGUGCAAAAGAAAACCAAAGAAAAAUGAAUGCAUCAAAAUAUGUGACUUAAAUCUUGUCUAAAUUAAAGAAGAAACACUAAAGUGCUG
RNAcentral lists this long non-coding RNA (361 nucleotides) under Junco hyemalis (dark-eyed junco). Its description in RNAcentral is "lncRNA (ENSJHYG00000014078.1)". The record is from RNAcentral. Lineage: Eukaryota; Metazoa; Chordata; Aves; Passeriformes; Passerellidae.